Molecule: ribosomal RNA, 913 nt
Filed under: uncultured bacterium
Lineage: Bacteria
Description: bacterial SSU rRNA
Rfam family: Bacterial small subunit ribosomal RNA
Source: RNAcentral
UAGUUGGUGGGGUAAUGGCCUACCAAGGCGACGAUCAGUAGCGGGUCUGAGAGGAUGAUCCGCCACACUGGAACUGAGACACGGUCCAGACUCCUACGGGAGGCAGCAGUGGGGAAUUUUGGACAAUGGGGGCAACCCUGAUCCAGCCAUUCCGCGUGAGUGAAGAAGGCCUUCGGGUUGUAAAGCUCUUUCAGCCGGAACGAAACGGUAUUCCUUAAUACGGGGCGCUAAUGACGGUACCGGCAGAAGAAGCACCGGCUAACUACGUGCCAGCAGCCGCGGUAAUACGUAGGGUGCGAGCGUUAAUCGGAAUUACUGGGCGUAAAGCGUGCGCAGGCGGAUUGUUAAGCAAGAUGUGAAAUCCCCGGGCUUAACCUGGGAAUGGCAUUUUGAACUGGCAGUCUAGAGUGUGUCAGAGGGGGGUGGAAUUCCACGUGUAGCAGUGAAAUGCGUAGAUAUGUGGAGGAACACCGAUGGCGAAGGCAGCCCCCUGGGAUAACACUGACGCUCAUGUACGAAAGCGUGGGUAGCAAACAGGAUUAGAUACCCUGGUAGUCCACGCCCUAAACGAUGUCAACUGGUUGUUGGGGGAGUGAAAUCCCUUAGUAACGAAGCUAACGCGUGAAGUUGACCGCCUGGGGAGUACGGUCGCAAGAUUAAAACUCAAAGGAAUUGACGGGGACCCGCACAAGCGGUGGAUGAUGUGGAUUAAUUCGAUGCAACGCGAAAAACCUUACCUACCCUUGACAUGUCCAGAACCCUGCAGAGAUGCGGGGGUGCCCGAAAGGGAAUUGGAACACAGGUGCUGCAUGGCUGUCGUCAGCUCGUGUCGUGAGAUGUUGGGUUAAGUCCCGCAACGAGCGCAACCCUUAUCAUUAGUUGCUACGCAAGGGCACUCUAAUGAGACUGCCGG